CUACGGGAUGCAGCAGUGGGGAAUAUUGGACAAUGGGGGAAACCCUGAUCCAGCAAUGCCGCGUGUGUGAAGAAGGCCUGCGGGUUGUAAAGCACUUUCGGUUGGGAGGACUGCUUCUAGCACUAAUAUUGUUGGAAGUUGACGUUACCUUCAGAAGAAGCACCGGCUAACUCCGUGCCAGCAGCCGCGGUAAUACGGAGGGGUGCAAGCGUUAAUCGGAAUUACUGGGCGUAAAGCGCGCGUAGGCGGCUAGAUCAGUCGGGUGUGAAAGCCCCGGGCUUAACCUGGGAACUGCAUCCGAUACUGUCGAGCUUGAGUACAGGAGAGGAGAGUGGAAUUCCACAUGUAGCGGUGAAAUGCGUAGAUAUGUGGAGGAACACCAAUGGCGAAGGCAGCUCUCUGGCCUGAUACUGACGCUGAGGUGCGAAAGCGUGGGGAGCAAACAGGAUUAGAUACCCCUGUAGUC
RNAcentral lists this ribosomal RNA (466 nucleotides) under uncultured bacterium. Its description in RNAcentral is "partial 16S ribosomal RNA". It matches the Rfam family "Bacterial small subunit ribosomal RNA", at positions 339 to 795 of the family's 1533-position model. The record is from RNAcentral.